ACUGAGGAAUGAUGACAAUAAAAGGCCGAAUUGCAGUGCCUCCUGGCAGUUUGCUCUCUGGGGCCACGAUGACAAAACUUCCUGAAGCGAACCAUAGUCUGACCUCGGU
This is a small nucleolar RNA of Suncus etruscus (white-toothed pygmy shrew), 109 nucleotides long. RefSeq annotates it as small nucleolar RNA SNORD89. The record is from RefSeq and is a predicted model, not a curated record. NCBI's taxonomy places the organism in Eukaryota, Metazoa, Chordata, Mammalia, Eulipotyphla, Soricidae. The transcript has a single exon.